This 500-nucleotide ribosomal RNA is filed under the name uncultured Glomeromycotina. RNAcentral's name for it is "partial small subunit ribosomal RNA". It matches the Rfam family "Eukaryotic small subunit ribosomal RNA", at positions 591 to 1092 of the family's 1831-position model. Lineage: Eukaryota; Fungi; Glomeromycota. The record is from RNAcentral.
CCAAUAGCGUAUAUUAAAGUUGUUGCAGUUAAAAAGCUCGUAGUUGAAUUUCGGGGUUAGUAGGCUGGUCAUGCCCCCGGUAUGUACUGGUCUCACUGAUUCCUCCUUCCUGAUGAACCGUAAUGCCAUUAAUUUGGUGUUGCGGGGAAUUUGGACUGUUACUUUGAAAAAAUUAGAGUGUUUAAAGCAGGCUAACGCUUGAAUACAUUAGCAUGGAAUAAUGAAAUAGGACGUUCGAUCCUAUUUUGUUGGUUUCUAGGAUUGACGUAAUGAUUAAUAGGGAUAGUUGGGGGCAUUAGUAUUCAAUUGUCAGAGGUGAAAUUCUUGGAUUUAUUGAAGACUAACUACUGCGAAAGCAUUUGCCAAGGAUGUUUUCAUUAAUCAAGAACGAAAGUUAGGGGAUCGAAGACGAUCAGAUACCGUCGUAGUCUUAACCAUAAACUAUGCCGACUAGGGAUCGGAUGAUGUUAAUUUUUUAAUGACUCAUUCGGCGCCUUACG